GAUGAACGCUGACAGAAUGCUUAACACAUGCAAGUCGAUGGGGAAGUGGUGCUUGCACCAUGGCAACCAUGGCGGACGGGUGAGUAACGCGUAAGGGACUUACCUGCAGGACUGGGAUAACAGGGGGAAACUCCUGACAAGACCGGAUAAUGUCAUGGAGCUGCAUGGCUUUAUGAUGAAAGGAGACGCCUGCGGAGAGCCUUGCGUCCUAUUAGCUAGUUGGUGAGGUAAUGGCUCACCAAGGCGAAGAUAGGUAGCCGGCCUGGGAGGGUGGACGGCCACAAGGGGACUGAGAUACGGCCCUUACUCCUACGGGAGGCAGCAGUGGGGAAUAGUGGACAAUGGGGGCAACCCUGAUCCAGCAAUUCUGUGUGCACGAAGAAGGUUUUCGGAUUGUAAAGUGCUUUCAGCAGGGAAGAAGUAAGUGACGGUACCUGCAGAAGAAGCGACGGCUAAAUACGUG
This 463-nucleotide ribosomal RNA is filed under the name uncultured bacterium. RNAcentral describes it as "partial 16S ribosomal RNA". It matches the Rfam family "Bacterial small subunit ribosomal RNA", at positions 28 to 507 of the family's 1533-position model. The record is from RNAcentral.